UCACAGUAUCAAGCCUGGCUUGUUGUUGGGCCCUUUGUCACUGGGUGACAGGUCUAAAAGAUAAUGAGCGGUGUCAUACCGACCCUGUAUGCAAUGAGCUUUUCACAGCACGCAUCUGGCGGUCGUGUGGCCCAGUUCUCCCCCCUUAUUUCUCAA
Molecule: unclassified non-coding RNA, 156 nt
Filed under: uncultured Chaetothyriales
Lineage: Eukaryota; Fungi; Ascomycota; Eurotiomycetes; Chaetothyriales
Description: sequence contains ITS2
Source: RNAcentral